GAAGCGGCAACAGCUCAAAUUUGAAAUCUGGCGUAAGCCCGAGUUGUAAUUUGUAGAGGAUGCUUCUGGGUAGCGGCCGGUCUAAGUUCCUUGGAACAGGACGUCAUAGAGGGUGAGAAUCCCGUAUGUGACUGGCUUGCACCCUCCACGUAGCUCCUUCGACGAGUCGAGUUGUUUGGGAAUGCAGCUCUAAAUGGGAGGUAAAUUUCUUCUAAAGCUAAAUACCGGCCAGAGACCGAUAGCGCACAAGUAGAGUGAUCGAAAGAUGAAAAGCACUUUGGAAAGAGAGUUAAAAAGCACGUGAAAUUGUUGAAAGGGAAGCGCCCGCAACCAGACUUUGCGGCGGUGUUCGGCCGGUCUUCUGACCGGUUUACUCGCCGCCGUGAGGCCAUCAUCGUCUGGGACCGCUGGAUAAGACCUGAGGAAUGUAGCUCCCUUCGGGGUGUGUUAUAGCCUCUGGUGAUGCAGCGCGUCUCGGGCGAGGUCCGCGCUUCGGCAAGGAUGAUGGCGUAAUGGUUGUCGGCGGCCCGUCUUGAAACACGGACCAAGGAGUCUAACAUCUAUGCGAGUGUUCGGGUGUCAAACCCCUACGCGUAAUGAAAGUGAACGGAGGUGGGAACUUUUUGUGCACCAUCGACCGAUCCUGAUGUCCUCGGAUGGAUUUGAGUAAGAGCAUAGCUGUUGGGACCCGAAAGAUGGUGAACUAUGCCUGAAUAGGGUGAAGCCAGAGGAAACUCUGGUGGA
RNAcentral lists this ribosomal RNA (744 nucleotides) under Pseudocercospora schizolobii. RNAcentral describes it as "eukaryotic LSU rRNA". It matches the Rfam family "Eukaryotic large subunit ribosomal RNA", at positions 95 to 871 of the family's 3401-position model. The record is from RNAcentral. RNAcentral also lists the same sequence under 1 other name. Lineage: Eukaryota; Fungi; Ascomycota; Dothideomycetes; Mycosphaerellales; Mycosphaerellaceae.